This 1387-nucleotide long non-coding RNA is filed under the name Gossypium barbadense (sea-island cotton). RNAcentral describes it as "long non-coding RNA (GBAR_LNC013216)". The record is from RNAcentral. Lineage: Eukaryota; Viridiplantae; Streptophyta; Magnoliopsida; Malvales; Malvaceae.
CCUGACGAUCCCCGAGUCUGAGCUAGCUUCGAUAAACUAUAAAACAGUGGAGGAAUGCACAAAGUAAGCUUAGGAAGCUUAGGAGGCUAUAAGCAAAUAAAUCAUUUCAAUGAUAUUUAUAAUUCAAUUCAACUAGGUCAAGUUCAAAUAUAUCUCGAACGCAUAUACAUUUAACUAACUCAUAUAAAUUCAUAUUACUACAUUAAGUACUAAACUUACCUUUAUAUUUCAUAAACAUAUAGCUCUACACAUACCUGAACCAUUCAGCUCAAAUUCACAUUUGGAUUUGUUAAGAACACACAGAAAUCAUAUAAAGCUCGUACAAUGCCAUAUCCUGGAUAUGGUAUUACAUGUUAACACAUAUCGAUGCCACUGUCCGAGAUAGGGUCUUAUACGAAUCAUAUACGAUGCCAAUGUCCCAGACAUGGUCUUACACGAAAUCACACCUCCGAAGUACUAAUAUCAUGUCAUCAAUAUCAAAUACACUUUCUAUGGUUCAUUCAUAACUAUCGACUUCGUAAUUAAAUUAUGUCAUACAUGAAACCAGUCAUCCAAUGGUCAAAUCAAUUUAACAAUAUACAUAUUCAUAUACUAAUCAAAUUCGACAAUGUAUAAUCAUAUAAAAAUCAAUUUGGCAAUGUAGAACCAUAUAUGAAUCAAGUUCGGCAAUGUAUAAUCAUAUCCAAGUCAAAUUCGGCAAUGUAUAACCAUAUACGAAUUAAUUUGGGAACUUAUAUCCAUAUACUAUUCAAUUUCAACAAUAUAUAACCAUAUACAAGUUAAUUUCAGUAAAGUAUAAUUGUAAUACCCAAUUUUAAGCCCGGGACCAAAUACAUCAGGCCCAAUACAUCAGGCCCACCUAGACCUAACCCUAAUGGCCCAAACUCAUAACAGUCAAAGAAACCCUAAGCAGAUUGAAGCAAAUCAGCGCUGCAGCAACUUCCCACGUUUCGGCAACCGUUUCCACCCAUGUUCAGCAAUCCCCCACACCCACCAUGCACAUUCUUUACCUGCAACAAACCACAAACAGUGGCAAUGACCGAAUAUACAGGAACAAAUUGUAAAAGAUUGGUUUUUUUUUUGGUUUUCUCUGUAAAGAUUGGCUAUAAAAAGCCAAUCGAUUUUUUAUAAAAGGGGGGACGAAUAUUGUAUAAAAAAUUAUUGAAAAAACAAAGAAUCAAAUAGUUUUUGGAAAGUGAGGUAUUUUCUUCCUUUUUUUCUUUCUCUUUCAUUUUUUGGUCUUACUUGUUGAAUGUAAAGAAAUAACAAAGGAGAAGAAGAGAAACUUACCGUUGAGAGUGUCGAAAUACUCUUUCACUUCGUUUAAAUCGAAGUUGGAGGAGGUUGGUGUGUGAGAGAGCAGGAGAGGGUUUGUUGCGGCUGUUGU